Molecule: ribosomal RNA, 550 nt
Filed under: uncultured bacterium
Lineage: Bacteria
Description: bacterial SSU rRNA
Rfam family: Bacterial small subunit ribosomal RNA
Source: RNAcentral
UAGGGAAUCUUCGGCAAUGGACGGAAGUCUGACCGAGCAACGCCGCGUGAGUGAAGAAGGUUUUCGGAUCGUAAAGCUCUGUUGUAAGAGAAGAACGAGUGUGAGAGUGGAAAGUUCACACUGUGACGGUAUCUUACCAGGAAGGGACGGCUAACUACGUGCCAGCAGCCGCGGUAAUACGUAGGUCCCGAGCGUUGUCCGGAUUUAUUGGGCGUAAAGCGAGCGCAGGCGGUUAGAUAAGUCUGAAGUUAAAGGCUGUGGCUUAACCAUAGUACGCUUUGGAAACUGUUUAACUUGAGUGCAAGAGGGGAGAGUGGAAUUCCAUGUGUAGCGGUGAAAUGCGUAGAUAUAUGGAGGAACACCGGUGGCGAAAGCGGCUCUCUGGCUUGUAACUGACGCUGAGGCUCGAAAGCGUGGGGAGCAAACAGGAUUAGAUACCCUGGUAGUCCACGCCGUAAACGAUGAGUGCUAGGUGUUAGACCCUUUCCGGGGUUUAGUGCCGUAGCUAACGCAUUAAGCACUCCGCCUGGGGAGUACGACCGCAAGGUUG